AGAAACGCCAUGUUUCCAAUAGGCGGUGCAGACAAAGACGCAGUCCAUACAAAAAAGCCCAGCGAUUCGAAAAUACACAUUAUUACAUACAUUUUCAGCCACCAAUAUCAGGGUCUUUCCACAGGGGGGAGCUUAAGUCACCAAAACUCUAAUGGAUUAUCCUGGCCUGCUCUUAUGUGUGAUUUGCAGCACGUGUGAUAUCUGCAUGACUUUGACUAUGAAUAUGACCAGCACAGCAUGUGAACUCAGCAAGCAAUCAGUCCAUGCAUCUGAUAGUGCUAAUAUGAAACUGAUGGAUACAGAUCCCUGUGCUGAGGAACAGAGUGCCCCAACCUGAUCUAAAAGGCAAGGAUCUAUUUUUAUCUUUAAAAAAAAAACCCAACAAAAUAAUGAUGUGAUUUCAAACAGGUGAUGUCUGCACGUGAUUUUAAUUUAUGAAAGCUGGCUGAGGCUUUGAGGACCAAAAGAGGGGCAGAGGAUCUCAAAUUGGUUAGAAAUGCAUGAGUAGAUUAUUGCAAUGCUUAAAAGGAAAGUGUUUGCAGAAGAAAUGGUAAGAUAUAACACUAGAAUUACUUAUCAGUCAGUAUGUCUUUUAAGUGUUGUAAGGAAG
This 610-nucleotide long non-coding RNA is filed under the name Astyanax mexicanus (Mexican tetra). Its description in RNAcentral is "lncRNA (ENSAMXG00005003018.1)". Lineage: Eukaryota; Metazoa; Chordata; Actinopteri; Characiformes; Acestrorhamphidae. The record is from RNAcentral.